CCUACGGGAGGCAGCAGUGAGGAAUAUUGGUCAAUGGACGAGAGUCUGAACCAGCCAAGUAGCGUGAAGGAUGACUGCCCUCUGGGUUGUAAACUUCUUUUAUAUGGGCGUAAAAUGUUCCACGUGUGGGAUUUUGUAUGUACCAUAUGAAUAAGGAUCGGCUAACUCCGUGCCAGCAGCCGCGGUAAUACGGAGGAUCCGAGCGUUAUCCGGAUUUAUUGGGUUUAAAGGGAGCGUAGGUGGAUUGUUAAGUCAGUUGUGAAAGUUUGCGGCUUAACCGGAAAAUUGCAGUUGAAACUGGCAGGCUGGAGUACAGUAGAGGUGAGCGGAAUUCGUGGUGUAGCGGUGAAAUGCUUAGAUAUCACGAAGAACUCCGAUUGCGAAGGCAGCUCACUGGACUGCAACUGACACUGAGGCUCGAAAGUGUGGGUAUCAAACAGGAUUAGAUACCCGGGUAGUC
This 460-nucleotide ribosomal RNA is filed under the name uncultured bacterium. Its description in RNAcentral is "partial 16S ribosomal RNA". It matches the Rfam family "Bacterial small subunit ribosomal RNA", at positions 338 to 795 of the family's 1533-position model. The record is from RNAcentral.